AACGAACGCUAGCGGCAGGCCUAAUACAUGCAAGUCGAACGGGAUCUGAGGGUAGCUUGCUACCCGAUUUGAGAGUGGCGCACGGGUGCGUAACGCGUGAGCAACCUACCCAUAUCAGGGGGAUAGCCCGAAGAAAUUCGGAUUAACACCGCAUAUUAAUACGCUAACACAUGUUGAUGUAUUUAAAUAUUUAUAGGAUAUGGAUGGGCUCGCGUGACAUUAGCUAGUUGGUAAGGUAAAGGCUUACAAAGGCGACGAUGGCUAGGGGCUCUGGGAGGAGAAUCCCCCACACUGGUACUGAGACACGGACCAGACUCCUACGGGAGGCAGCAGUAAGGAAUAUUGGUCAAUGGGCGCAAGCCUGAACCAGCCAUGCCGCGUGCAGGAUGACUGCCCUAUGGGUUAUAAACUGCUUUUGUUAGGGAAUAAACCUUCUUACGUGUAAGGAGCUGAAUGUACCUAAAGAAUAAGGAUCGGCUAACUCCGUGCCAGCAGCCGCGGUAA
Molecule: ribosomal RNA, 504 nt
Filed under: uncultured bacterium
Lineage: Bacteria
Description: partial 16S ribosomal RNA
Rfam family: Bacterial small subunit ribosomal RNA
Source: RNAcentral